CUCGCUUGCUCCGGCCGCCAC
RNAcentral lists this microRNA (21 nucleotides) under Oryza sativa (Asian cultivated rice). RNAcentral describes it as "osa-miR2924". Lineage: Eukaryota; Viridiplantae; Streptophyta; Magnoliopsida; Poales; Poaceae. The record is from miRBase by way of RNAcentral.